UGCGCAGGCGGGUUUGUAAGUCAGUGGUGAAAUACUGCCGCUUAACGGUAGAAUUGCCAUUGAUACUGCGAAUCUUGAGUAUGGUUGAGGUAGGCGGAAUGUGUAGUGUAGCGGUGAAAUGCAUAGAUAUUACACAGAACUCCGAUUGCGAAGGCAGCUUACUAAGCCAUAACUGACGCUGAGGCACGAAAGCGUGGGGAGCGAACAGGAUUAGAUACCCUGGUAGUCC
RNAcentral lists this ribosomal RNA (229 nucleotides) under uncultured bacterium. RNAcentral's name for it is "partial 16S ribosomal RNA". It matches the Rfam family "Bacterial small subunit ribosomal RNA", at positions 568 to 796 of the family's 1533-position model. The record is from RNAcentral.